Molecule: long non-coding RNA, 268 nt
Filed under: Capsicum annuum
Lineage: Eukaryota; Viridiplantae; Streptophyta; Magnoliopsida; Solanales; Solanaceae
Description: long non-coding RNA (CANN_LNC014487)
Source: RNAcentral
ACUAUGUAGCUAGCGUAGGUUGAGAUAUUAACAUGCUAUUUGAGGGUUGAUCUCAUAUGGGUACUUGCCAGUUAGGGUAACCCUCAGUUCUUUGAGAUAACUCUUUAGUGGAUCCUCAUAGCCAGUAUUAGUACCCGUGGCAUGGUACUGACAUCCUUCCAACUGGGGUCACAAGUUGGAGCCCAAAUUACUCAUUGGGGCAUGUCAGUUAGAUGAUAGCUCACACAGUUUCAGUCCAGAAAUUAGCUCAGUAAUUCAAUUUUAGCUG